CCUCCACAUAAUAUUCCAGCCCAUUAUUUUGGGCUUGCUGUUUUUAUUAUUAUUAUUAUUAUUAUUAUUAUUACCCUCUGAUGGGGUUAUACAGAUGUCUCCAAAAGAUAAGAAAAAUAAAUUACAUCAUUCAAAAAUAAAUAAAGCAGUCGUUAGGGACCAAACAUGUUGUCUAGCGUCCUGUCAUCUCUCUGUGGACCCCUUUCCAGCGAGACCGAUGCCAUUGCCUAAAAUUUCAGAAACCCCACUUUACUCCACUGUUGGUCUCUCUAUUUCCGCC
This 280-nucleotide long non-coding RNA is filed under the name Malus domestica (apple). RNAcentral describes it as "long non-coding RNA (MDOM_LNC000276)". Lineage: Eukaryota; Viridiplantae; Streptophyta; Magnoliopsida; Rosales; Rosaceae. The record is from RNAcentral.